Molecule: transfer RNA, 71 nt
Filed under: Ictidomys tridecemlineatus (thirteen-lined ground squirrel)
Lineage: Eukaryota; Metazoa; Chordata; Mammalia; Rodentia; Sciuridae
Description: Spermophilus tridecemlineatus (thirteen-lined ground squirrel) tRNA
Rfam family: tRNA
About the family: Transfer RNA (tRNA) molecules are approximately 80 nucleotides in length. Their secondary structure includes four short double-helical elements and three loops (D, anti-codon, and T loops).
Source: Rfam by way of RNAcentral
GGGGUUGUGGCUUAGAGGUAGAGCGCUCACCUAGCAUGUGCGAGGCCCUGGGUUCAAUACUCAGCACCCCA